Molecule: ribosomal RNA, 1638 nt
Filed under: Capnea georgiana
Lineage: Eukaryota; Metazoa; Cnidaria; Anthozoa; Actiniaria; Capneidae
Description: eukaryotic LSU rRNA
Rfam family: Eukaryotic large subunit ribosomal RNA
Source: RNAcentral
AGGAUUCCCCUAGUAAUGGCGAAUGAAGCGGGAACAGCUCAAAUUUGAAAUCUCCGUUGCCUGCAACGGCGAAUUGUAGUUUCGAGAAGCACUUUCUCGACGGAUCCGGGGCCGUCCAAGUUGCUUGGAACAGCACGUCAUAGAGGGUGACAACCCCUUCUGUGGCGGAACCGGCCGUUCACGAUGUGCUUUCGACGAGUCGGGUUGUUUGGGAAUGCAGCCCAAAAUGGGUGGUAAACUCCAUCUAAAGCUAAAUAUCGGCACGAGACCGAUAGCGAACAAGUACCGUGAGGGAAAGAUGAAAAGCACUUUGAAAAGAGAGUUAAAAAGUACGUGAAACCGUUAAAAGGGAAACGAAAGGGGUUAGCAAUGCGCUCUGCGAGAUUCAGCCGGGCCGGCGCGUCGGGCGGGCGGUCUGCGGAUCCGAAUGGACCGCGGCCGUCCGGUUCGGCGCCUCGACCGUCGCACUUCUCGCGAGCGCGCGCCAACAUCGGUCGGGACUGGGUUUCAAAGGCGCCGGGAAGGUAGAUCCGUUUCCCUUCGGGGGUCGGAUUGUUAUAGACCGGCGUCGUCAUGGCCCGGACCCAACCGAGGAGCCGCGGCGCAUGCCCCUCUUUGGGGGGGCUGGGGUCCCGUCGUUCCGGUCGGUCGUCGACUGCGGUGGACUGCAUGCAGUGCGCCGCGACUGCUGCCGGUCGCCACGGCGGUGACCUCACACCAUGCGCCCAGGAUGUUGGCGGUCACAUGGCCUCUUCCGACCCGUCUUGAAACACGGACCGAGGGGUCUAACGCGUGUGCGAGUCUUCGAGUGACCGAGGCUCCGAGGCAGGAUGUGGGUGAAGGCGGCCCCGUGCCGCCGAGGUGAGGGCCCUCCCUCCCUGGAGGGGGGGCGCGUCAUCGACCGGCCUAUUCUGCUCUUAGGCGUGGUCAUGGAAGUCGGAAUCCGCUAAGGAGUGUGUAACAACUCACCUGCCGAAGCAACUAGCCCUGAAAAUGGAUGGCGCUCAAGCGUCGCACCUAUACCGUGCCGUCGACGCGAAUGCUAAGCGCCGACGAGUAGGAGGGCGUGGGGGUCGUGACGCAGCCUCUGGUGCGAACCUGGGUGAAACGGCCUCCAGUGCAGAUCUUGGUGGUAGUAGCAAAUAUUCAAAUGAGAGCUUUGAAGACCGAAGUGGAGAAAGGUUCCAUGUGAACAGCAGUUGGACAUGGGUUAGUCGAUCCUAAGAGAUAGGGAAAUUCCGUUUUCAAGCGCCCGAUUCUUUCGGGCCGUCUAUCGAAAGGGAAUCGGGUUAAUAUUCCCGAACCGGAACACGGAUAGUGUCGCCUUCGCGGGCGGCGGGUGCGGUGACGCAAACGAACCCGGAGACGCCGGCGAGAGCCCUGGGAAGAGUUCUCUUUUCUUUUUAACGGACUUUCACCCUGAAAUCAGCUUGCCUGGAGAUAGGGUUUGAUGUCCGGUAAAGCACCACACUUCUUGUGGUGUCCGGUGCGCUCUCGACGGUCCUUGAAAAUCCGGGGGAGACGGUGAUUUUCGUGUCCGGUCGUACUCAUAACCGCAGCAGGUCUCCAAGGUGAGCAGCCUCUGGUUGAUAGAACAAUGUAGGUAAGGGAAGUCGGCAAAAUAGAUCCGUAACCUCG